Small nucleolar RNA from Jaculus jaculus (lesser Egyptian jerboa), 132 nucleotides. Lineage: Eukaryota; Metazoa; Chordata; Mammalia; Rodentia; Dipodidae. The record is from Ensembl.
UGGUCCGUCCUAAUCCCUCUCACUCAGCUUGUGACCUGCCAGGAUUGGCUUGUGGACCAGAAUGCCCUAGAAGUCCUGCUGCAGUUGUGCAAGGCCUCUGGGCACCUAUGCCAAUGGCACUUCUGGAAACAC